RNAcentral lists this ribosomal RNA (1413 nucleotides) under Euproctis pseudoconspersa. Its description in RNAcentral is "16S ribosomal RNA". Lineage: Eukaryota; Metazoa; Arthropoda; Insecta; Lepidoptera; Erebidae. The record is from RNAcentral.
UUAUAUAUAUAUAUAUAUAUAUAUAUAUAUAUAUGUAUAAAUAAAAUUAAUUUUAAAUUUAAUUUACUAAUAUUCAAAAAUUAAAUUUAAUUUAAAUAUUUAAUCCUUUCGUACUAAAAUAUUUUAUAUUUUAAAAGAUAGAAACCAACCUGGCUUACACCGGUCUGAACUCAGAUCAUGUAAGAUUUUAAUGAUUGAACAGAUCAAAAAUUUUAAACUUCUGCAUUUAAAUUUUAUCUUAAUCCAACAUCGAGGUCGCAAACUCUUUUUCUUAUACGAACUAAAAAAAAAAAUUACGCUGUUAUCCCUAAGGUAAUUUUUUCUUAUAAUCAAUAAAAUUGGAUCAUUUAACCACUUAUUUAUGUUAAAAUAAAAAAAAAAGUUUAUUUAAUUUUUCUAUCACCCCAAUAAAAUUUAAAAAUAAAUUUAAAUUAUUAAAUUAAUAUAAAACCUUAAUUUAAAUUUAAAUAAAACUCUAUAGGGUCUUCUCGUCUUUUUAAAUUAUUUUAACUUUUUAAUUAAAAAAUUAAAUUCUACAAUUUAAUUUUAAGACAGUUUAUAUUUCAUCCAAUCUUUCAUACAAGUCAUCAAUUAAAUGACUAAUGAUUAUGCUACCUUUGUACAGUCAAAAUACUGCAGCCCUUCAAUAUUAAAUCAGUGGGCAAAUUAAACUUUUAAUUAUUAACAAAAAGACAUGUUUUUGAUAAACAAGUGAAUAUACAUAUUUGCCGAAUUCCUUAAAAAUAAUUUUAAUUUAAAUAACUAAAUCUAAAUUAUAAAUAUACUAAUUUUAUCAUUAUUACUAAAUUUUAUUAAUUAAAAAAUUUUUUUUUAUAAAAUUAUAAAUAAAUAAAUUAAAUUUUAUCUUAAUUAAAAUUAUUUAUAAUAAAUUAAAAAUUUUUAACAAUUUAAAUUAUACAUUUCUUAAUUAAAAUUAAUUAAUAUUAUAUAAAUUUAAUUUAAAGCUUAUCCCUUAAAUUAUUAAAUUUAUUAUUAAAUUUAAUAAUUACAAUUAUUAAAUUUACAUUAAAUAAAAUAAAUUUAAAAUUAAAUUUUUUUCUAAAAAAACUAGAUAUAUUUAAAAACGAUUAACAUAUCAUUUCAAAUUAAUUAUUAAAAAUAUUUCUACUACAAUAACUUUAAUAAUUAAUUAUCUCUUUUAAAUUCGAGAAUUUUUUAAUUAAAAAAUUAAAUUAAUAAACUCUGAUACACAAGAUACGAUAAAUUAAAACUACUUUUUAUUAAAUUUUUUAUUUAAAUAUAUUUCAAAAUUCUCCCACAAUACUAAUUAACUAUAAAUUUUUAAAUUUUUUCUAUUUAAUUACUUUAACCCCCAUUAAAAUAAUUACAAUAUAAAAUAAACUUUAAAAAUUUUUUUAUUAACCUCAAAUAAUUCUUAUUAAUUUUAACCCC